RNAcentral lists this RNase P RNA (396 nucleotides) under Prolixibacter denitrificans. Its description in RNAcentral is "Bacterial RNase P class A". It matches the Rfam family "Bacterial RNase P class A". From Rfam's summary of the family: Ribonuclease P (RNase P) is a ubiquitous endoribonuclease, found in archaea, bacteria and eukarya as well as chloroplasts and mitochondria. Its best characterised activity is the generation of mature 5'-ends of tRNAs by cleaving the 5'-leader elements of precursor-tRNAs. The record is from RNAcentral. Lineage: Bacteria; Pseudomonadati; Bacteroidota; Bacteroidia; Marinilabiliales; Prolixibacteraceae.
GUCGCAGACCGUUCUAUCGCGUUCCUUACGGGGAAUGAGGAAAGUCCGGGCAACACAGGGCACCAUGCUUCCUAACGGGAAGGCGGGUGUAAGCCUGCAGCAGUGUAACAGAAAACAACCGCUGCUCCGGACCUCGGUCCGAAACAGUAAGGGUGAAAAGGCGGGGUAAGAGCCCACCGGUAUCUGUGGCAACACAGGUAGCCGUACGCCUCAUGGGUUGUAAGGCCAAAUAUAUUGCGAGUCCGCAAGGACACAGUGCGGCCCGCGCUGGUUCCGGUUAGCCGGAAGUCGCAAGGGGUAGGCUGCUCGAGGCUGCCGGUGACGGUAGUCCCAGAUAAAUGAUAGAAGCCUUGCUUCGGCAAGGUACAGAACCCGGCUUACAGGUCUGCGAUUUUU